AACGAACGCUGGCGGCGUGGAUAAGACAUGCAAGUCGAGCGGGAUUUUUUCCUGUAGCAAUACAGGGAAAAAUCUAGCGGCGAACGGGUGCGUAACACGUGGGCAAUCUGUCUUAAAGUGGGGGAUAGCUCGGCGAAAGCCGAAUUAAUACCGCAUGUGAUCAGAGGCGACAUCGUCUCGAAAUCAAAGGUGGCGCAAGCUACCGCUUUUUGAGGGGCCCGCGGCCUANCAGCUUGUUGGUGAGGUAACGGCUCACCAAGGCUAUGACGGGUAGCUGGUCUGAGAGGACGACCAGUCACACUGGGACUGAGAUACGGCCCAGACUCCUACGGGAGGCAGCAGUAAGGAAUCUUCCACAAUGGGCGAAAGCCUGAUGGAGCAAUGCCGCGUGCAGGAUGACGG
Molecule: ribosomal RNA, 402 nt
Filed under: uncultured bacterium
Lineage: Bacteria
Description: bacterial SSU rRNA
Rfam family: Bacterial small subunit ribosomal RNA
Source: RNAcentral